Pan troglodytes (chimpanzee) is the source of this 1632-nucleotide long non-coding RNA. RefSeq lists it as uncharacterized. NCBI's taxonomy places the organism in Eukaryota, Metazoa, Chordata, Mammalia, Primates, Hominidae. The record is from RefSeq and is a predicted model, not a curated record. The transcript has 3 exons.
AAGAUUCUGGAUUUUAGAAUGAGAACAUUGCUUCUUGCAAUAACCAUUAGGUUUCACCUAGAAGACUCAAAGACUUCAAUUGGAAGAGAAGCCUGAUCCCAGUUCUAGCUCUGUAGGUCUACAGUGAGAGUUAUAUUUCCUCUGCAGCAGUUCAUUCCAGUGUAAGGUUUGCCUGAAAACAUUCUUCCUUUAACCAGGGCUGGGCCAUACAUGUGGUUUCUGCUCACUCUGACAGGAGAAAGCAAACAGCCCAGACUUGAUUGGGUCCGAACAUGGCCACCCUCUGUGACUCUGCUGUAUUUCAUAAGGCAAAAAGUAUAUGAGUUCUGCCUUUCUAGAAAUCAUCUUUAUAUGUACUUUUCUAUUCAGUCAUGGAUUAUAAAUAGAUUCUCUGAUUAGUUUCCCAAGUGAAAAGUAUAUAGAAAAGAACAGGAUUUACUUCUGAAUGUGAAAGUACAUUAUUUUAUUCUAACAACUAAAUCAGUAGAGCAGCAAGUUAUCCCUAGGAGAUCAGAAGGACAGCAAAUUCCUAAAUAAUAAGGUCAUGUAGUAAAAAUGGAAGUAUGAGGACAAAAUAGUGGUCUCAUGCACAUUAUCUUAUUUCAGAUGCCCAACACCCAGAUGUGGCAGAAAUAGAAGUUGUCCCGAACAUUCUCUACAAAUGUUACUUCAGAAGCCAGCAAAUAAAAUGACUUUCAGGAACCAAAGCUUGGCAAAUAGAUGGACGGGAAGAAACAGCGUCAAGUCACUGUUAGCACAAAAUUGCAUCUCUACAUUGGCAUGGAGCUGGUAAUUGACAGACAGUAUAGCGGGAGUUACUCUUCAGCUCUGUCAUCUGCAAAAUGGGAAUGGUAGUACUUACCCCGCUCGCCUCACCAGGCUGCUGUGACAACUGACUGUGAUAACAAGAAAAAACCUCCAUCUUCAUCCCCAGAGCUUGAUAUCAAAACAACUAAGCCAGAAAGAAGACCUUUGGUCCUUACCUGAUGGGACACUCAUUAUAACAGGAGAAAUAAUAAUGUCUUUUACAAAGCUACAGACACAGCUUAUUUGUGAUAAGAAAACAGUUUUGUUUUUUAGUUUUUUUAUUGGCAUUAAUUUACUCAGAAUAUCUACUAAGUGCACUAAUAACUUCAUAAUAUUAAAAAAGGUAAAAUUCAGAAUUGAAUAAAAAUGGAAGGGUGAAAUGUGCUUGAUCACUCAGUUAAACCAUGAAAGUCUUAUAUGUGUACUGUGAGUUUAAAGCAAUAGUCUCAAAAGCAUGAAACCACCUAGCUAACUUCCAUACACCUUUAUUCUUGGUUGUAUUGAGUUUGUUAAUUGUCUCUCUGGAUUUUUUCACAGCUAAAAUGGUCUUCCUAAACACAACAACAAAAACUAUUUGAAAAAUAAUGUUUAACAUUUCUCUCAGUGAUAUCAUUAUGGUCAAACUAUUGCAAAUGAAAUUUAAUAUUUUAAUUAUAUAAUAAGCACUGAUUUAGGUAUGGGGUUAUAUUAUUAUAAGCAAUAAAUUGUGACUGAUAGAUAUAUAGAUAAUAUGUUCUAGGCCUUUCAAACUUUGUAUCAUGACCCAUGAGUGGCUAGAAGCUUUAUUUGUAUAGAAUACGACCGAAUAAAUACAUCAGAGUUACU